AUCCCGAUACAGAAGAGAAGAGGAGACGGAGGGGGGUGCACCGAGAAUAUUAAACUCACGAGUCACUGUGCGCACGUUUAUGUAUAUGUUUUCUCACGUAGGAGCCUGAUCACAGAUUAUGAUGCAGUUCAUGCUGCUGUUCAGCAGGCAGGGGAAGCUGAGGCUGCAGAAGUGGUACGUCCCGCUGUCGGACAAGGAGAAGAAGAAGAUCACCCGCGAGCUGGUGCAGACCGUCCUGGCUCGCAAGCCCAAGAUGUGCAGCUUCCUGGAGUGGCGCGACCUCAAGAUCGUUUACAAAAGGUACGCUAGCUUGUAUUUCUGCUGUGCCAUAGAAGACCAGGACAACGAGCUCAUCACACUGGAGAUAAUUCAUCGAUACGUAGAGCUGCUGGAUAAGUACUUCGGCAGCGUGUGUGAGCUUGACAUCAUCUUCAACUUUGAGAAGGCCUACUUCAUCCUGGAUGAGUUCCUGCUGGGAGGCGAGGCGCAGGAAACCUCCAAGAAGAAUGUGCUGAAGGCCAUCGAGCAGGCAGACCUCCUGCAGGAGAGCCAGAGUGAAGACUGGGGAGGUUUAUCCACUGAGGAUAUCUUAUAAUGAGGAGAAAUCAGGCCUUGGCCUUCAAUGCACCUUCUUCCAGACUGUUGGAUGCUAAAGAGGCAGAGACUCCGCGCAGUGUUCUUGAAGAAAUUGGACUGACAUAAAGCUGACCCACCACCACCUUUUUCGUCUCCAGUUCUUGUUUUUCUCUGCCUACUGUUUCUGUGUCCUGCGAAUAAUGUAACGCUAACUGUACUCAUGGUGCUGUGUCAGUAAUGAGGCAUCUUAUUCUUUUCAUUUUAAAAAAAUAUUGGUACUGCAUACACAGUAUUGCACUCUACAGAAUUAAAAUGAGUAACAAAGGGAUCACUUGAUUAAAAUUUGUGUUCACUUUCAGAGAUAUUGAAACUGCCUUAAGAUAUCCAAACAGUAUUUCUGAUGUGGGAAGGAUUCAGAUCGAACUGUGCGACUUUCAUUUCUGUGUAGCUGUAAUGUAAAAACAAAUGUUGGAAUGCAUUUUAAUCUGAAGAGUCAAGGGUAACAAAGGACUGUCAUAGUUAGAUAGCCACCUAGGUUUAGGUUAUAUAGGUCCUUUGGAGUUACAUGCACCAUAUCUUUAGGUCAGUUGUUUUUGCUUUUCCUAACAUGUAGCAAGUCUCAAAGGAAAUAGAAUGAAGGUUUUAGAAAUUAUUCUUAAUAUGGGGAGACGUAAGUGGUUCAGGACCAACACUUAGAUUACGGGGACAAAAAAGAUGGGCAGGGGGUUUGUCACUUUCAGGGCCUCUUUAGUGUUUACAACCAAAGAAACACUGUGUUAGUAUUCAUAUACUUUUGUAAAACAGAAAUUAUAUUUUGGGAAGAACUUUGCAUAUUAUUUGUGAUGUUAAAAGGGAAGAGAGAAAGGGAUUUAUUGAACCAAAGAGUUUUUUUUUUCCUUUGCCAAGCCUAAUAUCCUAAAGUAGUGGUGCAGUUCAGUACUGCAUACCAUGAAGUGUGCUGGCAAUGGAUCACAGUACAGUAGAGGUGAAAAUACUGUUAAAACCUUUGAUAUCACUACCUGAUACGUGAAAUUUAGCUCUAUGAUAUGAUAUUUUGUGGUAAAUAGCAUACAGUAUGUACCCAUCGACAUUUGACUGUGAUCUUUAAGUUUUUUAUGGCCCUGGAGAACUUUAACAAAACCUUGAUUGGAUUUCCUUUAAGAGGUAUUUCUUUCCUUUGUGUAGGUCACUGGCCCCAACUUUAAUUUCAUUAGUUUAGAUAUUCUCUGUCAUCACUCGUGUGUCCCACAGUGGAAAGGUGUUGUGUUUUGUAAUGUUGUCUCUGUAAAUCAAUGUUGCAGUGUUUGUUGUUCAAAUAAAUCUAUUUACACCACUUCA
Non-coding RNA from Lepisosteus oculatus (spotted gar), 1914 nucleotides. The record is from RefSeq and is a predicted model, not a curated record. Lineage: Eukaryota; Metazoa; Chordata; Actinopteri; Semionotiformes; Lepisosteidae.